ACUUAGUGGCGAACGGGUGAGUAACGCGUGAGUAACCUGCCUUCAAGAGGGGGACAACAGUUGGAAACGACUGCUAAUACCGCAUAACACAGUUUAAUCGCAUGGUUUUACUGUCAAAGGAGCAAUCCGCUUGAAGAUGGACUCGCGUCUGAUUAGAUAGUUGGUGAGGUAACGGCUCACCAAGUCUACGAUCAGUAGCCGGACUGAGAGGUCGAUCGGCCACAUUGGGACUGAGACACGGCCCAGACUCCUACGGGAGGCAGCAGUGGGGGAUAUUGGUCAAUGGGGGAAACCCUGAACCAGCGACGCCGCGUGAGGGAAGAAGGUUAUUUGAUUGUAAACCUCUGUCGUCAGGGAAGAAAAUGACGGUACCUGACAAGGAAGCACCGGCUAACUACGUGCCAGCAGCCGCGGUAAUACGUAGGGUGCAAGCGUUAUCCGGAAUCACUGGGUGUAAAGGGAGUGUAGGCGGGAAAGCAAGUUGAAUGUGAAAUCUAUCGGCUCAACCGGUAGGCUGCGUUCAAAACUGUUUUUCUUGAGUGAAGUAGAGGCAAGCAGAAUUCCUAGUGUAGCGGUGAAAUGCGCAGAUAUUAGGAGGAAUACCGGUGGCGAAGGCGGCUUGCUGGGCUUUUACUGACGCUGAGGCUCGAAAGUGUGGGGAGCAAACAGGAUUAGAUACCCUGGUAGUCCACACUGUAAACGAUGAUUAUUUAGGGGGGGGGGGACUGUCCCCUUCUGUGCCGGAGUUAACACUAUAAGUAAUCCACCUGGGGAGUACGGCCGCAAGGUUGAAACUCAAAGGAAUUGGCGGGGCCCCGCACAAGCAGUGGAGCAUGUGGUUUAAUUCGAAGCAACGGGAAGAACCUUUCCAGGUCUUGACAUCCGACUAACGAAAUAGAGAUAUAUUAGGUGCCCUUCGGGGAAAGUCGAGACAGGUGGUGCAUGGUUGUCGUCAGCUCGUGUCGUGAGAUGUUGGGUUAAGUCCCGCAACGAGCGCAACCCUUACCAUUAGUUGCUACGCAAGAGCACUCUAAUGGGACUGCCGUUGACAAAACGGAGGAAGGUGGGGAUGAUGUCAAAUCAUCAUGCCCUUUAUGACCUGGGCCACACACGUAAUACAAUGGCCGUUAACAGAAGGAAGCGAAGGCGCGAGCCGGAGCAAACCCCCAAAAACGGUCUCAGUUCGGAUUGCAGGCUGCAACUCGCCUGCAUGAAGUCGGAAUUGCUAGUAAUCGCGCAUCAGCCAUGGCGCGGUGAAUACGAACCCGGGCCUUGCAC
This 1278-nucleotide ribosomal RNA is filed under the name uncultured bacterium. RNAcentral describes it as "bacterial SSU rRNA". It matches the Rfam family "Bacterial small subunit ribosomal RNA", at positions 90 to 1386 of the family's 1533-position model. The record is from RNAcentral.